UCGCUUUGGGAGGGACCUGCGUCCCAUCAGCUAGUUGGUGAGGUAAUGGCUCACCAAGGCGACGACGGGUAGGGGACCUGAGAGGGUGGCCCCCCACAAUGGAACUGAAACACGGUCCAU
RNAcentral lists this ribosomal RNA (120 nucleotides) under uncultured bacterium. Its description in RNAcentral is "partial 16S ribosomal RNA". It matches the Rfam family "Bacterial small subunit ribosomal RNA", at positions 215 to 334 of the family's 1533-position model. The record is from RNAcentral.